CAUGCCCGGCACCACGAUUCCCACGCCCCGCACCUCCUCCUCCCAAUGACCAGAGCACGGCCGGGCAUCCGCCGCCGCCCGCCCAUCCUCGCCCUCCCCGCCUCCGCUCCACGGUCGAGCCUCCAUCCUCCGCUGCCACCGUGGGGGACUUGCGCACGCGGGGCAGCUGCCGGCGAACAUGGCCGCACCCAAGACCGUGGCGCGCGCUGCCCAACGUGGAACACCGGUCUCUUCCCUGCCGUCGGUGGCCUCUCUGCUGCCACGUCCGUCCUUGUCCGGCCAUAUCUCCUACGGAACAGGCUGCUCCAUCCGUCGGUACCUAGCCACCAUGGUGUCUCUUUCCCUCUCAAUCCAUUCUUCUCUUUGUUUUUCAACUGGAGAAAAAUGCAUCGCACUCUGCAGUCCCUCCUCCGACAGAGAGCCGCACCCGGCCGCCCCCGUUCCUCCGGCAGAGCCCCCGCCCGGACGCCCUCGCUCCUCCGGCAGAGGCAACGCCGCGCCCAGCCGCCCCCGCUCCCCCAGCAACGUGCCUCACAACGGCUCCUACGCGCUCCUCCGCAGUGCACCAGCGCACCUACGCGCUCCUCCUCAACCAGAGCCCAAAGCUCCUCCACAACGCACCAGCGCUCCUCCGCCGCCGGACGCCGGCUUCUGCACCCAGGCACCGCCCGCGCACAUCCGGUCCACACCUUUCAGCUCACGCUGCCGCCGACCCUCCAUACCUGCCCGUCGAGCUCUCGGCAACUCGAGUUCUUCCGAGGAGUGUUCUUCGUUCAAUGACCUGCCUGAUAAUGGGAAUGUAGCCCCAUGUGAAAAUCUGCGAAAACAACUGAAGAAUUACAUCCCGAAUGUCAGAUGAUAAAAUAAUCGAACAUGAGUUUUGCUGAAAUAUUGGUGCAUGUUUCUCAGGAGGAUCUCGUAAUGCCAUAAUCCAUAGUUUUUCAGUAAGGUGAGUGGUUUCUGGAAGUACAUGCGUCGCAUGUCCAUGUACUCCUACCAUUCACAUUAUCAAGUGCAUUGAUGACAGCAUCAAGGCCCUCACCGCCUGCCCGCCUCAUCUCGACGGAUUUAGAGGCAUGCGGGAGCUGCCACAGCCGUCACCGAGAAUGUGGGCGCAUGCGGGGCGGCCGCCGGCGAACAAAGGUCGUGCGUGAGUCCGAAUUAAUUUAUCCAAGAUUUUUGAAUUUAAACACUCAGAGCUCUCCGCCACCAGCAUACUCCCGGUCAGUGCUCUCCUGCCCAAGUCUUAUUACUGAAUUUCAAAAGGCUUGCACAAUUUCUAUAUCAAUGAACACAAACAAGCAGUGAAUGGAUUUCCCCCCUAUCAUCUUUUCCUGAGUACAAUUUCUAUAUCAAUGAAAGGACAACCAUUUUCUUUCUAUUUUUGGUUCUUGUGGCACAUGUUGUCCAUAUUCUAUGAAUAUUUGAUAUAAUGUACUCCUAUGCAUCACUCCAGAUAAUUUAGCACUUCAGAUUUUGUUGGUUCAUUUGCAAACACAUUUCUGGGGACACACGAUCCGUUUGGUCACAUGCAUGCUUCUCAUAUUAGUACAAAUGAAAAUGUUUAAGGAAAUCUGGAGGUGAGCAUCAUAACAUAUUUCUUGAUGAUUCCGAUGUUUGACAAUUUGUAUGAAGAAAUUGGGGUGAUACAUGCACAUUGUUGGAAUUCUGUUGCUAUGCUAUGAACCUGUCAGUUUAUCCACGAAUUGUAAUGUUCAUGCUGCCACAGAAUCUUGGAUAAAUUAAUUUGUUUGCUGGUCCAGUUAUGAUUUUCAGUGCAGAAAUAAAUUAGAAAUGGUUAGUCUGAGGAUAAAUUAAUUUUGGACUUCAGGUUCUUGUCUUACUGAAAUACAUUUGAGAUUUUUAGUCAAUUUUGGGAUAGGAAGUGAUUUUCUUUAGUCAUGCAAAAUUUGGUGCAGAGUCCGAAUGAAAUGCUGCCAGGAAUCAAGUGUUAGUUGGUGAAACAACAUCUUCAAAGUCUAGGGUAAAGUGGGAGAGAUGCUACACUUACGCGCACAUUUCUACGGAAUUAAGUUACAGACUGAUGUGUUGAAUCUUGAUUGGAAAUCUCGAGAGGGUGUGACCCAGGCCCUGAAAAUCAGGGGGAGUGGUUAGUGCAGGGAGGAGUCUGUAAGUGGGCUCCCGUAGGUCUUGCCUGGAAGUAGGAUUUUCGGGUGGCCACUAACCUGUCUCCCUAACAAUUUACUCUUUUCCUCUGUAGAAUCUGGUGGAUGGCAACAAAUUCAGGCUAUGGACAGAUGAUUUCAAAGAUUACGAAACUAUUUCUUUUAUGGAAUGAGAUUACCCACAUAAUAAUUCAGAAGAGUAGUACUUUAUCUUACUACCUUGAGAAGUUCAUCACAUGGUUGCAGAUGAGACUGAACACCCUGAUGUGUUGUUGGAGGAGGUGGUGAUCCGGUCAUGUUAUGCCCAUUAGGAAAUAUAAGGAGCUGAACUGGUCUUUUUGGUGCGUGGCUGGUCGUGGUGUUUCUAGGAAUGCCUCUAUGGCAAUACACAGGUGAAUCAUUUCAGCGGUAUUUCUUCUAUGAAGUGUGUGGUUCACUCCAGCUAUUGCAAAUGUUCGACACCUAAAAGUAGGUUUGCUUUCUUCUAUACAUGUAUGUAGUGUGCAUGAUUUGUAGUAAAAUGCAAUGAAAGUUUGUGAUAACUCAAGAAACACCAACAGGUAGUACAUGGAAUUUGUCUGGUGUGAGAACAAGUCAUAAAUUUAAUACCAUUUCUGUAGGAACGAAAACACCACCAUUUCUAUUUUUCUGUUUUUUACAGCAAAUAAUGUUACAUUUUUGGAUAAUCCAAUGUAGGGAAAUCUGAUUGUUACUUUGGCUCCUUUAUACUUUUGCUUAGAUUUUUAGUAGUUUAGAAAGCAAGUCUCACAUUUUUCACACAGGUUUUCACUCCUACUUGGGUAUGUUCUGCUUAUGGGUAAUGGAGGGAUUCACAAACUUGAUGAAAUUUCUACCAUUGUUUGCUUGAUUAGUACUCCCUCUGUAAAGAAAUAUAAGAGUGUUUAGAUUUUUAGUGAUCCAAACACUCUUAUAUUUCUUUACGGAGGGAGUAUAUUCUUAGUACAGAACAGAAGAAUGCUAUUUUCUGUUCACCUACAAUAAAAAUUCUUUCUUUUACCUACAUUAUCAUUUCUUAUUAUUCUCUCUUUAGCACGAAUAUGCAAAGAUACAAGAUAAACUCAUGAUCUACUGUACUAACUGCAGAUCAUCCUUUUCAAUCAACAGGCUGGUACGAGAUGUUAAAAUGGGUUCCUAUUUGUCUACCAUCAUUCUUCUAUUUCAAAAGUGUUAAUUCCAUCGAUUUCUUGCUUAUAUGUAUACUGACUGCAGAUUGGCUGAAAUUCAGUUUGCAAAACCCAUGAUCCAAUCCAUGCUUUGUGUUAUGCUACUGCUGGCCUUGUCCUUCCAAAUAGAUAAAUGCAUGAUGGACCUGAGGUAGCUCCUACCGAUGCUUACAUGUUGUCAACAUUAGAUGAUGAUUUGGUUAGUGACUAUUUAAAAAAAAUAUUCUCAAUCUAACACGUACACUAUAUUUACAUGUUAGUUUUGUUUUUGAAUUGGCUCAUGGGUGUAUUUCAUAUAUGUGUUGACCCCGUGAAGUUGCAAGUUUCUUUUUCUUACAUAAGGGGAUAUUGAGCGCUCUCACUGAAGCCUUUGCAAAAUUUUCUUCUUUGGUACUAAGCAAAGAUUAAAACUAUGCCAGUCAUGGUGUUCUUUUAGUUGGGUUCAUACGGCUUUAAAAGAUUAUUUAUUUAAAGGUAUGUAAAUUUUGGAUCUAUAGUGAUUUUUUUCUAUUGAAGAAGACAUGGAAAUUCAUAGUUUAUCAGUUUACAUUCUUUGUAAUUUAUCAAUUUAAGUGAAAUAAGUGAUGUAAUUAUAAACAUAUGGGAAUUUAUUGUGCUUUCGACAUAUUCGUUUUGAUUAUUAUUA
Triticum urartu is the source of this 3956-nucleotide RNA transcript. RefSeq lists it as uncharacterized. NCBI's taxonomy places the organism in Eukaryota, Viridiplantae, Streptophyta, Magnoliopsida, Poales, Poaceae. The record is from RefSeq and is a predicted model, not a curated record.